RNAcentral lists this ribosomal RNA (755 nucleotides) under Halomonas phoceae. RNAcentral's name for it is "bacterial SSU rRNA". It matches the Rfam family "Bacterial small subunit ribosomal RNA", at positions 70 to 823 of the family's 1533-position model. The record is from RNAcentral. Lineage: Bacteria; Pseudomonadati; Pseudomonadota; Gammaproteobacteria; Oceanospirillales; Halomonadaceae.
GAAUGGGGCUUUGCUCCUGGUGGCAACGGCCGAGCGGUGAGUAUGCAUUGAAUCUUGCCCGGUUUGGGGGAUAUUCUGGGGAAACCCAGGCUAAUACCGCAUACUUCCUACGGGGGAGGCGGUGGACCUCCCCCACUCGCGCUAUCGGAUGAUCUAAGUCGGAUUAACUGGUUGGAGAGGUAACGGCUCACCAAGGCGACGAUCCGUACCUGGUCUGAAGGAUGAUCAUCCACACUGGGACUGAUACACGGCCCAUACUCCUACGGGAGGCAGCAAUGGGGAAUAUUGGACAAUGGGGGCAACCCUGAUCCCCCAUGCCGCGUGUGUGAAGAAGGCCUUCGGGUUGUUUUCACUUUCUUGACGACAAGGCCUGCUGGUUAAUAACCGGGGGAAGGACAUCACUCAAGAAGAAGCUCCGGCUAAGUCCGUGCCAGCAGCCGCGGUAAUACGGAGGGUGCGAGCGUUAAUCCUAAUUACUGGGCGUAAAGCGCGCGUAUGUGGCUUGAUAAUCCGGUUGUGAAAGCCCCGGGCUCAACCUGGGAACGGCAUCUGGAACUGUCAAGCUAGAGUGCAGGAGAAGAAGUAGAAUUCCCGGUGUAACGGUGAAAUGCAUAGAGAUCAAUAAGGAAUAACAAUGGCGAACGCGGCCUUCUGGACUUGACACUGACACUGAAGUGCGAAAAGCGUGGUUAGGAAACAAAGAUUACUGUAUCACUGCGUAGUCCACGCCCGAAAAACGAAUGUCCACUUUGGCC